AGAGUUUGAUCCUGGCUCAGGAUGAACGCUAGCGGUAGGCCUAACACAUGCAAGUCGAACGGUAACAUAAGAGCUUGCUCUUGAUGACGAGUGGCGAACGGGUGCGUAACACGUAUACAAUCUACCUUUAACUGAGGAAUAGCCCAGAGAAAUUUGGAUUAAUACCUCAUAGUAUUAUUUUAAGGCAUCUUAUUAUAAUUAAAACUCCGGUGGUUAAAGAUGAGUAUGCGUUCUAUUAGUUUGUUGGUGAGGUAACGGCUUACCAAGACUACGAUAGAUAGGGGGCCUGAGAGGGUGAUCCCCCACACUGGUACUGAGACACGGACCAGACUCCUACGGGAGGCAGCAGUGAGGAAUAUUGCGCAAUGGAGGAAACUCUGACGCAGCCAUACCGCGUGUAGGAAGAAUGUCCUAUGGAUUGUAAACUACUUUUAUACAAGAAGAAACCCCAGUACGUGUACUGGGCUGACGGUAUUGUACGAAUAAGCACCGGCUAACUCCGUGCCAGCAGCCGCGGUAAUACGGAGGGUGCAAGCGUUAUCCGGAUUUAUUGGGUUUAAAGGGUCCGCAGGCGGGAUUCUAAGUCAGUGGUGAAAGCCUACAGCUCAACUGUAGAACUGCCAUUGAUACUGGAAUUCUUGAGUGUGGUUGAAGUAGACGGAAUAUGUCAUGUAGCGGUGAAAUGCAUAGAUAUGACAUAGAACACCAAUUGCGUAGGCAGUUUACUAAACCAUUACUGACGCUCAUGGACGAAAGUGUGGGGAGCGAACAGGAUUAGAUACCCUGGUAGUCCACACCGUAAACUAUGAUCACUAGAUGUUGGCGAUAUACAGUCAGUGUCUUAGAGAAAUCGUUAAGUGAUCCACCUGGGGAGUACGUUCGCAAGAAUGAAACUCAAAGGAAU
This 904-nucleotide ribosomal RNA is filed under the name metagenome. RNAcentral describes it as "bacterial SSU rRNA". It matches the Rfam family "Bacterial small subunit ribosomal RNA", at positions 8 to 910 of the family's 1533-position model. The record is from RNAcentral.